RNAcentral lists this ribosomal RNA (443 nucleotides) under uncultured bacterium. RNAcentral's name for it is "partial 16S ribosomal RNA". It matches the Rfam family "Bacterial small subunit ribosomal RNA", at positions 28 to 507 of the family's 1533-position model. The record is from RNAcentral.
GAUGAACGCUGGCGGCAUGCCUAACACAUGCAAGUCGAUCGGUAAGGCUCUUCGGAGUACACGAGAGGCGGACGGCUGAGUAGCGCGUAGGAACACACCCUGCAGUGAGGGAUAAGACACCGAAAGGUGUUCUAAUACCGCAUACGGUCUUCGGAUUAAAGCAUUUAUGCGCUGAAGGAGUGGCCUGCGUCAUAUUAGAUAGUUGGUGAGGUAAUGGCUCACCAAGUCGAUGAUGUGUAGCUGGUCUGAGAGGAUGAUCAGCCAGACUGGAACUGAGACACGGUCCAGACUCCUACGGGAGGCAGCAGUGAGGAAUAUUUCACAAUGAGCGAAAGCUUGAUGGAGCAAUGCCGCGUGCAGGAUGAAGGCCCUCGGGUUGUAAACUGCUUUUAUAAGAGAAGAUUAUGACGGUAACUUAUGAAUAAGGGACGGCUAACUACGUG